GGACAAGCUACAAACGCUAAGGAAUUACAUUAGUGACCCAAAUGUCUCAUUCAACAACUUGUCUGAGCUGCUGGAAAAAUGCAACCUCACCUAUGAGGAAUACAAGAAACAUGUCACCAAUCUAACAAUGAGCAAUGUCAUUGUGUUGAAACGUCAUCCAAAGGACUGCUGGGUGAAUGGAUACAAUCCAGAUCUGCUGAGAGCAUGGAACGCAAACAUGGACAUCCAAUUUGUGCUUGACGAGUACAGCUGCCUUAUGUACAUGAUGUCGUAUGUGUCCAAGCCGGAACAUGAGAUGACUGAGUUCCUGAACGAUGUCAUUCGUGAUGUGAAGAAAACUAACGUCAACGAGAAAGAUGAAAUGAAGCAGAUAAUGCAGGCAUACGCUAAACACAGAGGUCAGCGCUCAAGAGGCUGUGGCACGGACAUGCAGCUUGCCACUCAAAAAGUGCUUGCGAAAUGUGGUGUUCAUUCAGACUGAUAAUGCCCUGAAGAUGAGUCUUCCUAUGAGCAGAUUGAAGGACGUUUCACCAGAAUCAGGACAAGUGUGGAUGUCAGGCCUACCAGAGAAAUAUGCAGAGAGACCCAGAACACCUGAAUAUAAAGGGUUGUGUCUGGCUGAAUUUGCUUCUCGAUACAGGACUGUCUAUGGACAACAAUCCAAAGGAAAAAAUGCAGUUCCCUUUUUAAAUGUCAAAGGAUACGUUCAAAAAAGAACUGUAGGAAAGCCGGCCAUCAUUAGAUUUCCCCGCUUCUCAGAAGAGAGAGAUCCAGAAAGGUUCUACGGACGACUACUGAAACUGUACCUCCCACACAGAUCAAAUGAUGACCUGAAAAGCAAAGAAUUCCCCACAUAGUAACAGUUUUACAAAUGUGGUCGUAAGUGGGGACGUGAAGUACGACCUCUGGUUGACGUCAUGAAGAAGAAAUAUGAAGGACAGGGCAAACUAAUUGAGAAGGCACUGGAAAAAAUUUGAUAAGAAGGCCUGGUCGUUAAUGCGUGGAACACCUUUGCGCCUUAGAUGGAAGUGGAUCGUCUGGAAUGCAUCAACCAAUAAGAAGAAAUAAACCCCAAUGACGAGGACGAGAUGGACAACGUACCAGACUUUGCAGUGGAUCGUAGCAGCAGUAUAGCUGUACCAGCAAUCGAGGCACCAAAGCUGAGCCCAGACUUUGUGAGGAAACUAUACCAAAGCCUCAAUGAAACAUAGGCAUCUAUAUUUUACACUGUGCGUGAAUGGUGCCUCAAACGUGUCUGGGGUGACAAUCCUGAACAGUUCUUUUACUUUGUGACUGGUGGAGCUGGUUGUGGAAAGUCACAUGUAAUCAAAUGCAUACACGAGGAGGCAACCAAGAUUCUGCGCCAGCUCCUGAGAUUCCGCAACCAAGGAGAUGUCCACGCCUGCAGUGCUACUGACUGCAUUUACUGGCACUGCAGCCUUCAACAUCUCUGGCAAGACCUUGCAUUCAAUGCUAAAAUUGCCAAGAAGUUUAAAACCACCAUACCAGGGACUGCGAAAUACACUGGAUGAAAUGAGAGCAAUGCUGUCCAAUGCGGAAAUUCUAAUAAUAGAUGAAAUUUCCAUUGUUUCAAAGGAGUUAUUUACCUACGUCCACUGGAGAUUUCAGCAGAUCAAAGGGAACAAGAAACCCUUUGGAGGCAUGUCCGUCUUGGCAGUAGGAGACUUUUACCAACUGCCACCGCUUGGCAAAUCGAAACCACUUUGUGUGUAUGAGGAGGGCGUGCUCGACAUUUGGAAAGACAACUUCCAAAUGGUCAAUCUGACACAGAUCAUGCGACAGAAAGAUGAUCUUGUUUUUGCAGAGCUUCUGAACAGAUUGCGGGUGAAGAGGAAGAUGGAGACACUCACUGAUGAGGACAGAGCUUUACUCACUGAGACUGUGAUCGAUAUCAAGGACUGUCCACUCGAUGCCCUGCAUAUCUUUGCAACAAACAAAGAGGUUGAUGAGCACAACGGAAAAACUGUAUCAGCUCUCCACACUGAUUUUGUCAACAUUAAGGCACAGGACUAUGCUAAAAACCCCACCACAGGUGAAAUGAUCCAGACAGGAUGCUUCAAAGGGGAAAAAGAGAGACCUGCCUGACUGCAUACAAGCUGCACACGGAGUACGCAUAAUGAUACUCAGGAAUCUGGAUGUGGAGGAUGGACUUGUGAAUGGAACAUUUGGAACCAUUGCCAACAUCGUUACAGGCCAGCAAGAUGGGAAAACAACAGUGACAACGAUUGGACUUCAACUGGACAAUCCAAACGCCGGACAGAAAUUUCGUAAGAAGAUCCCAGGGCAAUUGGAUAACCUGGUCUACAUUGAGAGAACUGAAGAGAACAUGACCAAAAAAGGAGCCGUUCGAAGGCAGUUUCCAAUGAAGUUGGCUUUUGCCUGCACAGCUCACAAAGUGCAAGGCAUGACAAUGGAGUCUGCAGUGGUGUCUCUGAAGCGUGUGUUUGAGCCUGGAAUGUCGUAUGUUGCCCUCAGUAGGACAACCUCACUUAAAGGGCUGCACAUUACAGAUUUUGAGGAAAAGAAAAUUUAUGCUGAUCCUGAAAUUACAGCUGCAAUGGAAAAUAUGAACCAAGCAUCAUUCGCGUGCACUAGACCACUUUUGCAACAUGUGAAAUUGGCAGACGGGACAGCACAAAACCUCAAAAUUAUUUACCACAAGGACUUCCAUCUCACAUCGGGGACCUGAAAUGCCACCCUGAACUGGCACUUUCCGAUGUCUUAUGCAUAACGGAAACACAUCUGUCUGGAUCCUUUGUUUCCCCAAAGUUCCACUUGGAAGGAUACAACAUGUUUGCACGCAGCAGACAGGUGUCCUACACAAACUUUCCAGACAUGGCAACAAAAGAUGGUGGCGGAGUUGCAGUGUACUGUAAGAGCCACAUUCAGGCAGAGGCUCGGAGGUACUUUCAAAAUGUGACUGAUCUCGAGUUUGUAGUUGUCAAACUUGAGGCCCCAGUCAGAGCCGUGAUUGCAGCUGUUUACCGACCACCACACUUCUGUCUCAAGAAGUUUCUGCCAAACAUGGAAAGUCUCUUGGACUCCUUGGACAUGAUGAAUCACCAGCCAGUCAUUGUUUGCGGAGACUUUAAUGAGGACCUCCUAUGCAAAGGAAAAAAGGCAAUACAAGAGAUGUUUCAAUCAAAAGGAUAUACACAGCUCAUCACAGCUGCAACAACGGAAAACAGGACACUUCUUGACCACAUUUACGUGUCUCAACCACAUACCUGCGUCAAAUCUGGUGUGCUGCAAAUGUAUUACAGUUAUCACAGUCCUGUCUACUGUGUUUUAACUCUGUGAUAACUGAGGAUAAGGCAGUUACAUAUCUCUUAGAGUCCACAUGUACGGGGCCUAAGUUGGUAUUGUUCUGUCCGUCAAAAGGAUUUCCACAACGGAAAACAGGAAACUUCUCGACCACGUUUACCAAACGUAUGAAAGGCAGUUACAUAUCUCUUAGAGUCCGCAUGUACGGGGCCUAAGUUGGUAUUGUUCUGUCCAUCACAAUCUCUCUGGGUGCAUUUUAUUUUUUCAUGUUUAUCGAUGUAACCUUUUAUCUGACCAAACAUAUGUAAGGCAGUUCAUUAUCUCAGAGUCGGCAUGAACGGGCCUAAGUUGGUAUUGUUCUGUCCAUCACAAUCUCUCUGUGCAUUUUUUUAUUUUUUCAUGUUUAUCAAUGUAACUAAUUAUCUGGGUGCAUGUUAUUUGAUGUUUAAGCUAGAGCCUUGUGUUUUGAGUCACAGCAGACCAUUAUCUACAAUGAAGGUAGGCUACAGUUCCAGUGAUGCAGAGAGGAUAGGGACAGCAGCUCCAAAAUUGAGGUAAAUAAUUGCUGGUGUUAAUUUAAGCAACUGUUCACAUACUGUAUAUUGUUUUGGUCAUAGUUCCUUUUCAUAUACAGAUAAAAACUGAAAUAUUACAUUGUUGGUCUUUAGUUUGCUCUAUGAUUAUUCUAUCGUGUAAUUAAUGAUUUUCUCUCCUUUUUGUUUCUUUUUUGUUGUUUUGUGAUUGUGCAUAGAUCUGACACCUGAUGAACACCAUGCAAAGAUGGAUGGCAGCAACCCCAAAGUCAAAAGUAGGAUCAUCAGUGAGGACUGCAGCGAAGAUGGCAGUCGUUCACCCUGUGAAGAAUCAGCAUUCCAACUCAAGGCUUGAGACUCCAUGUCGCUGUUAAAUCGUGAUUUUGUGCCGAAGGUGAACAACAUCCAAGAAACCAACAGCAGAAGGAGAAACACAACAAACAAAAUACGUUUAAGUACUCUUUUUCUUUGAAAUAAGAUUUGUUUCCAGUACUUUUGUGAUUUACUAAAGAUAUAUUGUUUGUAAACACUGUAUUAAUACUAUUGUGUAUUUUUUUCUUGUGGGGAACAACAAAACGGAAUCAACAACAUUAAGCGAAGUGCUCUUUUUUCUUCCAUUUUUUAUUUCUCACAAAUAUAACAUAUUACAUUAUUGUUUUGUUUGCUGUAUGCUUAUUCUGUCAUCGAAUUAAUGAUUUUCUUUUCCUCUCCUUUUUUCCUGUUGUUUUUUGAUUGUGCAUAAAUCUGACACCUGAUAAACACCAUGCAAAGAAGGAUGGCGGCAACCCCAAAGACAAAAGUUGGAUCAUCAAUGAGGGCUACAGCAAAGAUGGCAGUCGUUCAACCUGAAGAAUCAGCAUUCCAACACAGGGUUUGAGAAUUGGGCGGGGCAGAUGGCCAUCCACCGUGAUACGGGUUCUGCACAAGGUUUCUGCCACAGGCAGUUUUUCCUUGCCACCGUUGCCAAGUGCUUGGUCAUGCUGGGAAUUGUAAUUGUAAUGGAGAUUGU
Molecule: long non-coding RNA, 4827 nt
Organism: Larimichthys crocea (large yellow croaker)
Lineage: Eukaryota; Metazoa; Chordata; Actinopteri; Sciaenidae
Exons: 3
Source: RefSeq, a predicted model, not a curated record